RNAcentral lists this ribosomal RNA (254 nucleotides) under uncultured bacterium. Its description in RNAcentral is "partial 16S ribosomal RNA". It matches the Rfam family "Archaeal small subunit ribosomal RNA", at positions 474 to 727 of the family's 1478-position model. The record is from RNAcentral.
CACCGGCGGCUCGAGUGGUAACCGCUAUUAUUGGGUCUAAAGGGUCUGUAGCCGGCUGAAUAAGUCUCUUGGGAAAUCUGGCAGCUUAACUGUCAGGCUUUCAGGAGAUACUGUUCGGCUCGAGACCGGGAGAGGUGAGAGGUACCUCAGGGGUAGGGGUGAAAUCUUGUAAUCCUUGAGGGACCACCAGUGGCGAAGGCGUCUCACCAGAACGGAUCUGACGGCAAGGGACGAAAGCUAGGGGCACGAACCGG